AUAAAGCGAGGGAACCUGUGUAUUGCACUGUUGCGUCCGUCAGGCUCAGACCUCCCGCACUAUGUCCCACCAAUAUUACCUACCAAUUAAGCGAAUACCGAUUUCAAUCUUCUUGAGCAAGAGAACCUUUACUGUUCAAAUUACUACUACCAAUUCCAUCCGACUGGAACAAAUCUCUAUCCUUCGAUCAAUGUCCUCAUUAAUUGGCUCAUUCCGACAGGAUGAAUAUAUAUCUGUAAAUGUACCUUUUGAUUUUGGGGCAUGUUGGAUAAGAAGUUAGCAAGAGGCUGAUCAAAGUCUUCCAAAGUUGAUCGAAGAUGGUAUUUGACCCGCCAUUCGUUGUUAUGUUAAGAUCGAUCAAAUUGGGCUUUCACGUACCUGAUUCCUGAAGAAACUAUUGCAAAACCCAAGAGUCCAAGCAGCAAUCAUGGAUUGUUCACAAAACCCUCUGAGCAUUGCAAAAUAUCAAAAUGACAACGAGGUAAGGCCAAAUUUUGACCUUUAUUAGACAUAAUUUUUCAUUCCUAGAAGUGUCUGCUUUUAAAUUGAUGUUUCUAUAAGAAUACAAAUUCGACCCCAUUUUAUUUUUUUUUUUCUCUAAAAUUAAACUAUGCAUCCAAGAGUUGUCCUUAUUUAUUUAUUUAUUUUUUCUAUAUGAAUCUUUUCAAUAAAUUAUCGGAACUCUUCCCCGGAGUGAGCGGUCCACCAUGAUUGCCGUCGUUCAUUCAGAGUUCACAGUUGGUCGAUGCUGGAAUAGAAAUGCUCAUUAUUUGUUCUUCAUGCAUGACUAAGGUGGUUAGAACAAAAAUGUAAAUCUAAAGCCUGCAUGACUGAACAUACUUUCCCUUGCUGGUAGUGGUGGGCCAUAUAUUGAGAUAUGCUUCUUGCAUAUUAAUUUACUAUAUAUAUACACUCAAUAUUCCCAUCAUCAUCAUCCACACAAUUUCAUUCUACCAAUUCCAUCCAUAACUUCUCACUUUCUUUUCAAACUAUAUAUUAUUAUGUGGAAGCUAAAUGUUUAACAUAUACAUAUAAAUUAAGUCCAAACACUUGUUAUGUAUCUAUGGGUAAGUUUCAAAAUAGAGAUUUUUAUUUUUAUUUUUUUUAGUUUAAAAAUGGACAAAGAGCUUUAUCCCUAAGAAAAGCUAUGAUGUGAUGAAUAAGUUGUUUAAGAAUGAUGACUUUUAAAGAAAGGUUUUUUUUUUUUUUGGAAAAUUUCUCUUACAACCUUCAUCAUUCAUCACUUUUGCAAUCGAUCUUAAUUUCAAAACUUUAUAAAGUAACAUUUAGAAUAUCCAUUUCUCAAUUUAUUUAUUUAUUUUUUUGAUUUUAACCAUCCGUUAGAGUUCUGUUAAAUCCUGUCAAAAU
Molecule: long non-coding RNA, 1368 nt
Organism: Alnus glutinosa
Lineage: Eukaryota; Viridiplantae; Streptophyta; Magnoliopsida; Fagales; Betulaceae
Exons: 3
Source: RefSeq, a predicted model, not a curated record